Molecule: long non-coding RNA, 4954 nt
Organism: Astatotilapia calliptera (eastern happy)
Lineage: Eukaryota; Metazoa; Chordata; Actinopteri; Cichliformes; Cichlidae
Source: Ensembl
UUUUUUUUUAAGCAAGAAAAAUAAUUUAUUUAUAAUGAUAUAAUAAUAAUUUCAUCACAUUGGCAUUGCAGAGCUGCAGAAGGAAGCGUUUGUGUGAGACGCCACCUCGCAGCAACAGAUUACACCAUUGGAUGGGGCAAGAAAACAGGGGUUAUUCAAUACAUACAUGGAAUAUUCCUUUAAAUAUGUAUUUUUCAACGAGGAAUAACAAAAAUAGAAUAAUUCCAAUAUCUCUGUCUGUCUCUCUUUCUCUAGGUCUCUCUAAUUAUCAUCUCUGUGUCUUUAUAAGCUGCCUGUACAGCCCCCAGUACUGGGGUUUAAAUUGGGUUUGAGGGGGUUGUUUAUCUCACUUUGCUUGGGGAGUAAAGCGGAUGGAGUUUAUCAGUGAUGGACUUUAUGGGCUGUUUGUCCACUCCAAGUACUAAAACACAGUAAACUUCACCCAUCUGUCACUCCUGAAGCAAACACAACAAAGUCUUUUGGCCCAAAUCUGCAGCCACAGCAUCUCUCUAUUUCUUAUCAUUACUCUCAAUCGCUUGCUCAUAAAGCCGAGACUGUUCAAAAAUAGAACAAAGUCCUGAUAUUUUUAUGUGAUAAUGUGAUUUACUGAAGUAGCUUAAUAUAUAUCUCAAAGAGGUAGCAGCAAAGUGUUUUUAUUUCUACCCACUGUAAACUAUAAAGCAUUUAUUUAUUAAUUUGUUGACAAUAUUGGGAUUGUAAACUCACACUGCUGUUGAUUUUUUCUUAAAAAGAUGUCUCUGUGUGUACAGCUGAGCUCUGAUUGUAUCUUUAAGACCUUGACCUCUCUGCUAAGCAAUACUUUUGAUCCAUUUCCAGAUGUUUACUUUGAAGGCUAGCAACCACACUGACUAUUGACUAGGUAUCUAAAUGAUGUGACUCAAACUCUUUACAAAACAUGGACAUUAAUGUCAGAAAAAUGAAGGUGAUGCAGAAGUGCCUUAAUCCUGCAUUAUAUCUGAAGGCCACCAGAGGGCGAUAGCUGCGAUUGUUACAAAAAAAACCUAUUGGUCCUAUAGAAAUCUAUGGGGAAACGGCUCAGUCUUCAGCUCUGUAAACACACUGAGUUUAUGAGCUCAGUCACUCAUUUUCAGUCAAGAGGUCUCACAAUGACUAUCCACAUAUUAUCGGCAGUCAUCUCAGUACGCCAGAGAGUUUAUUAGGAUAUAUUUUAAAAUUUUUAAUUGUCUGGUUUAUGUGGCAGAUAUCCUAUGGUUUCCCAUACAACGAAUAAAAAAUGGAUGUAGCUGAUGUAACAUCACCCGUUGGAUUUUGAAGGCUUUAAGCUAGCAUUUGAUCAUUAUCAGCUAAGAUAUCAGCUAGCUAGCCUGGUUAAGCUGUAAUUGUUAACUAGAGGGCAAUUUAUAUAUUUGAUAAAUAGUGCAAAUAUAAUAAUAUAAUAAUAGACAAAUAAAAUACUAUCAUUGCAGUUACAAAACGUGUUGAACUAACAUCAAGCCUCAAGUGGCCGUUAGAGGAACUGCAGUUUUUAUCACUUCUGCUUGGCUUCAUUUUUCAGUGCUGGAUUUUACUUGAUAGGAGAUGGGAUUAAAGCAUUAAACGGAGGAGGGGGAGAAACAGCAAUGACAGAAAUGGGUUUGGGUUUUCUUAUAAUUAUUAUACAAAUUACAUUUCUUAGUCCUGCAGAUGAGCUGCGGUCAACUUUGUGCUGGUGGGGAUUGUGUUAUUUGUUUAUUCUGGUCUUGCACUGGCUCUCACUGGUAGCAGCUGUACUCAUAAAGUACUUAACAAAUGAAUGUCAUCAAAUUUUAUUUUGUAGCUUAUUUGGAUAAAGUGUGAUCUUUCCUUUUGCCUAUGAGGAAAUUAUCCUUGCCUGAACUCCCGCUCUCUCAACUUAACUUCCAAAUUUUCGGCGCUGCUUUUUAUUUACGUUUCCUAGCAACUGGUUCCUGUUUGGCUGCUCGAUAUCUGCAGAGGCAUGAAAUGUAAAAAUUACACCAAAUUAAUUAGCGAGCUAUUGCAGCGCCUUCCUCCUUCCUUUGUUGCUUUCUCGUACCUUUUAUCAACACGCAGGGAGGCAAAAAAAAAAAAACAGAGGUCGAGAGAAGAAAAAGCUUUUAGUGUGAUUGCUUCUCUGAGUCACGGGACAGCUAAGAAGGAAGAGAGAGAGAGAGGAGGUGAAAGGAAAGAUGAUGGACUGCAUUAUGAAUUUCAGCGUGGUAAUCCCCACAUUCAGCAGAGUCUAACCUCAGCUCUGCACAAUCAUUUUUCCUCCUUCCUAUCUUCCUUAUUCUCCUCCUGAAGGAGGGAUAAUGCUUUAGAUAUUCCAUAUAUUCCUCCUGUCAUCUGUCUUUCACACUUCAUAAAAAAUGUCAUUUUCAAAACAGUAUGUUGCCAAUAUAUUUUAGAGAAUGAAGCUUGUAGCGGUUUCUUCGAGGCGUAGCUGCUGUGUAGGCAGAAUCACCACCAUCAUCUUGAACAGACAACUAAUAUAUUGCACCCUUAGUAGCUUUUCAGAAUCAAUGAAAAGUUGGCUGUUCUGUCCCAGCAGGACCUUUUAGUCCCACACUUUGAAGAUUAACUGAAUUAACGAGAUUAUUUCAGCUUCUAAAGGAACUCCUGUUUCCAAGAAACAUUUACAAAACCUGCAAAAAAUCAGGUUCUUCUAUUAAAUGGCUAGAUCCUCACAUAAGGGAUAACACUUUUUUUUAACCAGUGUGCCCAUGUGUUCCUGCUUGUUUUUAUCUCUCUUUCCUCCCCGAUUAAAGAGAAUCUGCUGUCUGCCUACAUAAAAAGUCAAAAACACACUUUUUUUGAUCCUCAACACACACCGUAAGUGAACACCCUGUUCGACAGCCUGGCGCUUUUUUAGAUGAAAGUACGUCUCUCUUCACACCACAUGUUACAGUGCUGGAACAACACAUCCUUUUGCUCCUAACUCUGUACUUGUAUCUUCGGUUCCCGUCCCGCUGGGUUUAGCACAGAAACAAUCUUCGCAGGGUUUUUUUUGUUCGUUUUUAUCCAUCUAUUGGCCCUCGCUUCUUCUUAACAACCCACUUCACUUAUCCUAUGUCUGCGACUUAUCUGCUCUGAGGCAAAUGAGUCUUCAUGACCACACUCUGCCUGUAUGUGAAUGCAGAUUUGGGCAAUUGUUUGCCAGAUUACAUGGAAAUGCUCCCUUUUACACAUGCACUAUAGUGCAAUUUUGGCAAGAUUUACCAAAAAAAGUUACAUUGGGGUGUGUAUGUACUACCAAGGCAGCUGAAAUAAGAAAUAAAAUCAAAAGAAAAUGUAAAAAAAAAAGAAGAAAAAACACAGUAGGCGCUGCAGCAACACGCCUAUAAUUCAGUAUACAAGGCAAACAAACACAGAGUUUUAUAGGUUUAUCUUUUUUCAUUCACUAAAUAUUUAAAACAAGCGUCACUUGACUAGUCAUCAUAAAUGGUGAUAAUUUAUGCUUUUUUUCUCAGGAUGAUGGAAUACCUGAAGGACUGCUGUAGGGAAGAGAGAUGUAGCUGAAGUUUUUUUCUCUGUGGUUCCUCUUUUUCCAUCCACCAGGGGGAGCUCUGACUCAAUAGCACCGAGAAAUAAGUUUGCCAACUGGGAGUCAGGAGAUGAAAGGUUCCCCUCCUCCAUUUUUCGCAGUCCAUCCAUGCAGCAGGUUAGUCAAGUGUCAGAGCUGAACCACCGCUGAUCAGAGUCAUCUAGGCUGUCCACAUAGGCAUGGACAGACUGAUCGGCGGGUCCAUGGAUCAAAGACCGCAGGGCAUUUUGUCCGGUCCCAAAAGUCAAGGUCCUUAAUGAAAAAAAAAAACCCCAGAAAAAAAAACCACACUCAAACUUUUCCUGUUUCCGUGUCAGUACACAGAUCCCAACCAUUCAUUCAUUUGUUCAUUCAUCCAUGGCAAUUCCAUAUUUCAUGGAUACUAAAGGGAGCGAAAACAAAUGAUAAAAACUCGAGAGAAAGAAGGCAGAAGAUAAGCGCUGAUAGAAAAUGCUUUUUGCACGCUCAAACUAAGAACAGCAUCUAUUUUCUUUAACAGUCAUUCAUUGACAUUCAUCCGGUGUCGCGUCUUCUGCUGAGCUCAGAUGCAUAGACUGAAUGCAGAGAGAGGUGGAGAGGCGGAGGAGGGAGAGAGAGAAAAGAGAUGGGAGAGGCAGAGAGGCGGGAAGGCGGCGACGGGAGAGGAUGGAGAGAAGGGAAGGGAAGAAGGGCAGUGAAAGAUGGAGGGAGGGCGAGAGAAAGGUGAAAGAGAGGCGCUGCUACUGCGAGUGAGAGAGGAUGAACAUGUAGGGGAAGAAAAAGAGAGAGUGUGUGCUAUGUGCCAGAAAAAAGGUUAGAGCAGAGAAAAAGAGAGACAGAUGGAGUGUGUGCUCCAGCAGUGAUGAAAAAAGGAGGAGAACAGUGAGCGGUGAGGAGGAAGAGGAGGAGGAAGGUGGCGCAGACGUCACCUCCUCUCUGUGACCAAAGAGACGGCGGAGGAGGAGGUGGAGGAGGGUGAAAAAAAAAAAAGGAAAGUCUUUCACGCCACGUCACUCCACAUCACCACGGACGGACACACAGAGGGGAAUUUGAUUCUCAUCCAUCCUCCCGGUUCUCAGGCUAAAACCUGGGCAUCCAAGAAUUCCAAACUUGUACAGACGUUCUGGAAUGUUUACGUUCUUAUAUCCAUCCACUGAUUUCUGAAACCCUCUUUGUUCUGGAAUCUUAAUGUAACAAUGUUGAGGUCACUUCAAUCAUAAUCCUUAAUAAAAAGGGAAGGAGGGGGACGGACGUGAUAAUUUGCGCACACACACACACACACACACACACACACACACACACACACACACACACACACACACACACACACACACACACACACACACACACACACACACAUGUGUGACAUGUAUUCAGAACAGACACGAAAAUUGCAAAUGCACACAUACAUGCACUCGCCCCGUCUGUCUUUUCCCUCCCCUUGCUUUGUUC